CCGACCCGAGACUCGCCCCCUGGGACUCACCUUACGACCGUCACCACGACGGUCACUACUCAUUCGCAUUGGACUGUACCCGUCCGCCCACCCACCGGCUUGGACACCUUAGAACGACCACGGCUCAUACCAAACGCGAGAACCUUCCCACCAGGGAAGGUGGGCUCAUAGCUCAGCGGUAGAGUGCCUCCCUUGCAAGGAGGAUGCCCUGGGUUCGAAUCCCAGUGAGUCCAUGUCCGUUCGAAGCGAAUCCGUCCCCUUAAGUGGGAGACGCGACUCGGUUCGAACACGACGACCGAUGCACCAUCCCGGGAAACCGCGGAUGGGAAGGGUUCGACGAACGCCCCGUCACACCCGGGGCGAUUCAAUGACAACCGUGUAUACGUGCGAUCCAGACGUCCACUGAACUCAUCCGAGUUCGUGGAACGUCAGUGAACCAUAUACAGUCGGGUGACACUAUGUCACUUGACCGUCAGUGACUCUCCUUCGAGAGUCGACUGACACACUACU
Molecule: transfer RNA, 510 nt
Filed under: Halorubrum coriense
Lineage: Archaea; Methanobacteriati; Methanobacteriota; Halobacteria; Halobacteriales; Haloferacaceae
Rfam family: tRNA (bases 162-233)
Source: RNAcentral